UACAGAGGUCUCAACCGUUGUUCGGAUUCAUUGGGCGUAAAGGGUGCGUAGGCGGUCGUGCAAGUCGGAUGUGAAAUCUCAGGGCUUAACCCUGAAACUGCAUUCGAUACUGCGCGGCUAGAGUGCUGGAGGGGAGACUGGAAUUUACGGUGUAGCAGUGAAAUGCGUAGAUAUCGUAAGGAAGACCAGUGGCGAAGGCGAGUCUCUGGACAGCAACUGACGCUGAGGCACGAAAGCGUGGGGAGCAAACAGG
This 253-nucleotide ribosomal RNA is filed under the name uncultured bacterium. RNAcentral describes it as "partial 16S ribosomal RNA". It matches the Rfam family "Bacterial small subunit ribosomal RNA", at positions 524 to 776 of the family's 1533-position model. The record is from RNAcentral.